RNAcentral lists this ribosomal RNA (1030 nucleotides) under uncultured bacterium. RNAcentral's name for it is "bacterial SSU rRNA". It matches the Rfam family "Bacterial small subunit ribosomal RNA", at positions 359 to 1403 of the family's 1533-position model. The record is from RNAcentral.
UCGGCAUGCUGGGGGACCUGAUCCAGCCAUCCCGCGUGUAUGAUGAAGGCCUUCGGGUUGUAAAGUACUUUUGGCAGAGAAGAAAAGGCAUCCCCUAAUACGGGAUGCUGCUGACGGUAUCUGCAGAAUAAGCACCGGCUAACUACGUGCCAGCAGCCGCGGUAAUACGUAGGGUGCAAGCGUUAAUCGGAAUUACUGGGCGUAAAGCGUGUGUAGGCGGUUCGGAAAGAAAGAUGUGAAAUCCCAGGGCUCAACCUUGGAACUGCAUUUUUAACUGCCGAGCUAGAGUAUGUCAGAGGGGGGUAGAAUUCCACGUGUAGCAGUGAAAUGCGUAGAUAUGUGGAGGAAUACCGAUGGCGAAGGCAGCCCCCUGGGAUAAUACUGACGCUCAGACACGAAAGCGUGGGGAGCAAACAGGAUUAGAUACCCUGGUAGUCCACGCCCUAAACGAUGUCAACUAGCUGUUGGGGCCGUUAGGCCUUAGUAGCGCAGCUAACGCGUGAAGUUGACCGCCUGGGGAGUACGGUCGCAAGAUUAAAACUCAAAGGAAUUGACGGGGACCCGCACAAGCGGUGGAUGAUGUGGAUUAAUUCGAUGCAACGCGAAAAACCUUACCUACCCUUGACAUGUCUGGAAUGCCGAAGAGAUUUGGCAGUGCUCGCAAGAGAACCGGAACACAGGUGCUGCAUGGCUGUCGUCAGCUCGUGUCGUGAGAUGUUGGGUUAAGUCCCGCAACGAGCGCAACCCUUGUCAUUAGUUGCUACGCAAGAGCACUCUAAUGAGACUGCCGGUGACAAACCGGAGACGUGGGGAUGACGUCAAGUCCUCAUGGCCCUUAUGGGUAGGCUUCACACGUCAUACAUGGUCGGGACAGAGGGUCGCCAACCCGCGAGGGGGGAGCCAUCUCAGAACCCGAUCGUAGUCCGGAUCGCAGUCUGCAACUCGACUGCGUGAAGUCGAAUCGCUAGUAAUAGCGGGAUCAGAAUGUGCCGCUGAUACGUUUCAGGUCUCGGCAGACGCCUGUUAUGCA